CAGCCGCCGCGGUAAUACGAGGGGGGCAAGCGUUGUUCGGAAUUAUUGGGCGUAAAGGGUGCGUAGGCGGUUUGGCAAGUUUGGUGUGAAAUCUUCGGGCUCAACUCGAAGUCUGCAUCGAAAACUGCCGGGCUUGAGUAUGGGAGAGGUAAGUGGAAUUUCCGGUGUAGCGGUGAAAUGCGUAGAUAUCGGAAGGAACACCUGUGGCGAAAGCGGCUCACUGGACCAUAACUGACGCUGAUGCACGAAAGCUAGAAGAGCAAACAGGAUUAGAUACCCCUGUAGUCCCUGUCUCUUAUAA
This 301-nucleotide ribosomal RNA is filed under the name uncultured bacterium. RNAcentral's name for it is "partial 16S ribosomal RNA". It matches the Rfam family "Bacterial small subunit ribosomal RNA", at positions 509 to 809 of the family's 1533-position model. The record is from RNAcentral.